Long non-coding RNA from Papaver somniferum (opium poppy), 1112 nucleotides. RefSeq lists it as uncharacterized. Lineage: Eukaryota; Viridiplantae; Streptophyta; Magnoliopsida; Ranunculales; Papaveraceae. The transcript is spliced from 4 exons. The record is from RefSeq and is a predicted model, not a curated record.
UCUUGGCUUCUGUCGCAUCUCAACUCAGAACGACAGAACCCUAUUGAUUGAUUUCUCCUUUAAUGUAGGUUGUCUUGAUUUAUUUUUGUUUUGAUUUUGUAGGUUGUUUUGAUUUUGUAGGUUAAAGAGACUAUUUCAAAGAGGGGGUGUUUCAUCUUAUUUGAUUCGCGGGAUAUCCAAGUGUUGGGAUAUAUUGUUCGCAUAUAACCAUAUGAAUGCAGACAGUUUAUUGCAGACCUUGGAUAGCUUUGCUGGAUAGGAUAUUCUUGGGUGAAUUUGGGGUGUGGUGGUGAUGCUUUGUGAGGGUUGUUCCUGGUGUGUUGCUGGAAAAAUCAGAGGUCGAGAUUUGCCAUCCUUUUUUUUUUGAUAUUCCACUUUUCGUUUGUUGUUAUUUCUUGGUUAAUCCUUCGUGUUCUUUUUUUUCUGGCGACCUUAGUGUACUGCUUGCAGAUAAUGGGUAUGUGAUGCACUUUCUGAGGGAAACGGUACAACAGCUGGAUAGAGCCUAAGAUGAGUGUUCUAACAAGCAAACUCUUAAUUGAUGUACAUGUAGGGGAUAGUCCUAAGGAAAAGAACAGCUGCAACCAAAACGAUUAAUGACUGCUACAUCAUUAGCGCCUGCAGCAGAUAAAGCUGAAGAGAUUCGAUCGAGUUUGGAUCUCAAGUUUCCCAGUGUUGUUAAAAUUAUGAUCUGUUCAAGUGUUUCUGUGGACUUUGGCUGGGACUUCCCUCAAUAUUUUGUUCUUCGAGUCUGCCAAAGAAGGAUACCAAGUUUUACCUUGGUGGGUGAGGAUGGAGAGGCGUAUACUGCAAAAUAUCUUCCUCGGAGGCUUGGAUUGAGUGGUGGUUGGAAAGGGUUUUCCAUUGCUUACAACUUGGCGGAGGGAGACGCCUUGGUGUUUCACUUUGUUGGAAUAUGGUACGUAUACAAUGUGAAUCAAGUUAGCAGAGAAGUUGUUUGGAAGAUUUAGUCAUCUAGUAAUUCAAGUAUUGUAGCUAGAGUCUGUUACUAGGUUAACUGUUUAGUGUUUAUCUUAACAUCCUAAUUCCUAUAAAUAGGAAUCAAUAAUGUAUUUGUAAAUCACUCAAUCAUCUCCAGUAUUGAGCAGCAA